RNAcentral lists this ribosomal RNA (229 nucleotides) under uncultured bacterium. Its description in RNAcentral is "partial 16S ribosomal RNA". It matches the Rfam family "Bacterial small subunit ribosomal RNA", at positions 524 to 751 of the family's 1533-position model. The record is from RNAcentral.
UACGUAGGGGGCAAGCGUUGUCCGGAAUCAUUGGGCGUAAAGCGCGCGUAGGCGGCCCGGUAAGUCCGCUGUAAAAGUCCAGGGCUCAACCCUGGAAAGCCGGUGGAUACUGUCGAGCUAGAGUCCGGAAGAGGCGGGUGGAAUUCCGGGUGUAGCGGUGGAAUGCGUAGAGAUCCGGAAGAACACCGGUGGCGAAGGCGGCCUGCUGGGCUAUGGCUGACACGUGAGG